This 492-nucleotide ribosomal RNA is filed under the name Micrococcus luteus. Its description in RNAcentral is "bacterial LSU rRNA". It matches the Rfam family "Bacterial large subunit ribosomal RNA", at positions 1501 to 1982 of the family's 2925-position model. The record is from RNAcentral. Lineage: Bacteria; Bacillati; Actinomycetota; Actinomycetes; Micrococcales; Micrococcaceae.
AAUGACCUGGUCUAAGGGUGUAGGGCUGCCGGUAGGUAAAUCCGCCGGCUGUGUGCCUGAGACUGAUGGGCGCCCACAUGUGGGUGAUCCGGUGAUCCUAUGCUGCCUAGAAAAGCAUCGGCGCGAGGUUCAAACUGCCCGUACCCUAAACCGACACAGGUGGUCAGGUAGAGAAUACUAAGGCGAUCGAGAGAAUCAUGGUUAAGGAACUCGGCAAAAUGCCCCCGUAACUUCGGGAGAAGGGGCCCCAACCUUGAGCACCACUCGCUGGUGUGAGGGGAUCGGGGCCGCAGAGACCAGGGGGAAGCGACUGUUUAUCAAAAACACAGGUCCAUGCGAAGUCGUAAGAGAUGUAUAUGGACUGACUCCUGCCCGGUGCUGGAAGGUUAAGGGGACCCGUUAGCUUCGGCGAAGCGGAGAACUUAAGCCCCAGUAAACGGCGGUGGUAACUAUAACCAUCCUAAGGUAGCGAAAUUCCUUGUCGGGUAAGUU